GCCUCUAUAGCUCAGUUGGUAGAGCAACAAAUUCGUAAUUUGUAGGUCGGCAGUUCGAUUCUGCCUAGAGGCUCCA
Molecule: transfer RNA, 76 nt
Filed under: Clostridia bacterium
Lineage: Bacteria; Bacillati; Bacillota; Clostridia
Description: tRNA-Thr
Rfam family: tRNA
About the family: Transfer RNA (tRNA) molecules are approximately 80 nucleotides in length.
Source: RNAcentral